RNAcentral lists this long non-coding RNA (608 nucleotides) under Mytilus galloprovincialis (Mediterranean mussel). The record is from RNAcentral. Lineage: Eukaryota; Metazoa; Mollusca; Bivalvia; Mytilida; Mytilidae.
UAUUUCAGGGUUUAAGAGAACUACAACAGAUAGCAAGAGAACCUGAGAAAAAGCCAUAUAGAGAUGUGUUGUCUUGAAUACAGAUGAUGUAAAAUUGUUAACAGAAAACUCUCCUGUAAUGAUUGAAGAGUACCGGAAAUCUACAGAAUAUUGGUUCUUGUCUCCAAGCCAUUUGACCUAUCUACUAUUUUGUAAAGUAGCAUAUAAAAUCAGGUGUCAAAUUAAAAAUAUUGUGAAAUAAAUGUAUUAAUCAUUGAAAUUUUGGCAUCCUCAAAUAUAUAGGCAACACUAGUUUACUGAUAAAUCUAUUGAGAAGAUACAAAUCUAGGUAGAAAAAACUUGUUGAAUCCCAAAAACUCAUAUAGGAGGGAAAAUAGGGGUUUAGACUGGUUGAGCAUCUCCUGCUUUGCAUACAAAUUCAUACUCUGCCAAAAUGUCUGGGUCCAGAAUAAAAUAGACUACCAUUCUAGUAUUUUAAGACGUAAGACUAUGAAAUCAUACCAAAGUUAUUCGAGAUAUAUAUAUAGAGACACUUUGUAUAUGUCUGGCAGACAUGUUCACAGGAAUAAAUCUUUCUGUUCACCAAAUAAAUUUAACAUAUUGCUUAU